Long non-coding RNA from Acyrthosiphon pisum (pea aphid), 463 nucleotides. RefSeq lists it as uncharacterized. NCBI's taxonomy places the organism in Eukaryota, Metazoa, Arthropoda, Insecta, Hemiptera, Aphididae. The transcript has 2 exons. The record is from RefSeq and is a predicted model, not a curated record.
UUAUAUACCUAUGUUUAUACAAGAUUUUUAAUUCAUAAUAUAUUAUUAUUAUAUUUUAUUUUUCCAGCAACUACUGAAAAUUCAUUUUCCGAAAACAGCCACUAAUAGUUAACAUAAUCGUUCUCCUCACAAAAGUAUCUCUUAUAAGUCGUAUGAAUCAAAUGUAAAAAAAACAAGCCCUGUAAAAACUUCAACUAUAAAGGCAAAAAAAUAUUUAUCAGAUGAACAAUUCAAAGAAUUCAUGCAACAUAAUGUAAUACUUCUAAAACAUAAUAUGAGAAACCUGGACGAAAAACUGACUUUGUUACUCGAACAGACUAAAAAAAAUGAUUCCUACAUCAACAAUAGUAACGAUAAGGAAACUAUUGAUUAUUCACAUCUUGACUGCUUCUGCGAUGAAACUACACUAAAUGCUAUUGAAGAACAAUUAUCUGUGGACAAAAUAUUAUACAAUACUGAAAUG